Molecule: non-coding RNA, 30 nt
Filed under: Mus musculus (house mouse)
Lineage: Eukaryota; Metazoa; Chordata; Mammalia; Rodentia; Muridae
Source: RNAcentral
UUCUGAAAUAAGUUUGAAAGGAUAUAUGGC